GAUCAUGGCUCAGGACGAACGCUGGCGGCGUGCUUAACACAUGCAAGUCGAGCGAUGAAGUUUCCUUCGGGAAACGGAUUAGCGGCGGACGGGUGAGUAACACGUGGGUAACCUGCCUCAUAGAGUGGAAUAGCCUUCCGAAAGGAAGAUUAAUACCGCAUAAUGUUGAAAGAUGGCAUCAUCAUUCAACCAAAGGAGCAAUCCGCUAUGAGAUGGACCCGCGGCGCAUUAG
RNAcentral lists this ribosomal RNA (232 nucleotides) under uncultured bacterium. Its description in RNAcentral is "partial 16S ribosomal RNA". It matches the Rfam family "Bacterial small subunit ribosomal RNA", at positions 15 to 244 of the family's 1533-position model. The record is from RNAcentral.